GGCGGCGGCAGCAGCGAUGGCAGGAAUAGAGUUGGAGCGGUGCCAGCAGCAGGCGAACGAGGUGACGGAAAUUAUGCGUAACAACUUCGGCAAGGUCCUGGAGCGUGGUGUGAAGCUGGCCGAACUGCAGCAGCGUUCAGACCAACUCCUGGAUAUGGUAGCUCAACCUUCAACAAGACUACACAGAACCUGGCCCAGAAGAAGUGCUGGGAGAACAUCCGUUACCGGAUCUGCGUGGGGCUGGUGGUGGUUGGUGUCCUGCUCAUCAUCCUGAUUGUGCUGCUGGUCGUCUUUCUCCCUCAGAGCAGUGACAGCAGUAGUGCCCCACGGACCCAGGAUGCAGGCAUUGCCUCAGGGCCUGGGAACUGACCCAGCUGGUCCUGAAGGAGAAGCCAAAUGGCUGCACUGGCCGAUUCUGGUCUCCAGAGGACCUUGGUGUUUGCUCUCCCUUGACCCACCCCAGUGAGUGCCAAAGGGCAGCCCCAACAUGUGCACCCCUGCAUUUCCUGUCAUGCCACAGACUGGCCCUUGAGGGCAGCCUGCUGUACUGGCCAUGCUGGGCCAGCCCCACCUGGAGCUCAGUAAAAACUGCUGUUUGAUUA
RNAcentral lists this long non-coding RNA (602 nucleotides) under Homo sapiens (human). Its description in RNAcentral is "long non-coding RNA NONHSAT182114.1". The record is from RNAcentral. Lineage: Eukaryota; Metazoa; Chordata; Mammalia; Primates; Hominidae.